UGCACAUACGAAGCCACCCAAGACUUCAAAUCUCCAAGAUUAAAGUUCAAGAGUUUCUUUUCAUUCCCCACUUCUUCUCUCCUACUUUCUCUUUCUAAACAAUCCGGCAGGCAGCAAUUCUGGUGAGUGAGCUCCGGCGGCGGUGCCGCCGUGAGCGGCGGCAGAGAUGACUUUUCGAUUUGAGCAGCGAUUAGUGGGGAUACGAGUGACGGCGGCACAUCUCCACCUCCAACGAGCUCCGAUGAGUGAACCUAGUAUGAUAUUUCCGUUUCUUUUUACUCAGAUCUGUUAGAUCUCGUGCACACAAAGCCUCUACUCUUGUUUUCUUUCUUCUGUUUAGUUAAGUGGGUGAUGCCGGGAACGGUGAGGGUGGCUGAGGUGGUGACGAUGCUGUGGUGCGACAUGGACCGGCAACCCACUUCGCGGCGGUGGCGGUGAACUCCGACGAUUUUCACGUUCCGGAUCGACUCUGUUCAACUCGGCCCAACCCGGUCGACUCAGUCAACCGGUCAAAGUAGGUCAACAAGUCAACGGAUGGCUCGGUUUCAUCAACGACUCAGAGUUUCGGGUCUCGGUUCGGUAUUCGGGUCAACACUCAGUCAACGCUUGGUCAACAGCAGGCAACGGUAUUGUUCGGUUUCAGAAUUUUUGGUUCGGGUCUUGGUUUUAGUACUACAAGUGCAACAGUUAGCGGUUCGGCUCAGGUUCGAUGUUAGGGUCAAAGAUGGUCAACGGGUCAACAUCUGGUCAAACCCGAGUCAAACUCGGUCAACACCAGUCAACAGAAGUCAAGGAUGGUCAACUCAGACCCGGUUGCAUUUUCAAAACUAUGGAACGGUUGGAAUAGGAGAACCCAUGGGAAUUCGAGUACU
Molecule: long non-coding RNA, 872 nt
Organism: Helianthus annuus (common sunflower)
Lineage: Eukaryota; Viridiplantae; Streptophyta; Magnoliopsida; Asterales; Asteraceae
Exons: 3
Source: RefSeq, a predicted model, not a curated record